This 202-nucleotide ribosomal RNA is filed under the name uncultured bacterium. RNAcentral's name for it is "partial 16S ribosomal RNA". It matches the Rfam family "Bacterial small subunit ribosomal RNA", at positions 326 to 538 of the family's 1533-position model. The record is from RNAcentral.
ACGCUCGACACCUACAGGCAGCAGUGGGGAAUAUUGCACAAUGGGGGAAACCCUGAUGCAGCGACGCCGCGUGGAGGAAGAAGGUCUUCGGAUUGUAAACUCCUGUUGUUGGGGAAAAAGAGGAUGGUACCCAACAAGGAAGUGACGGCUAACUACGUGCCAGUAGCCGCGGUAAGUACUGAGCGGGGCGUGGCGAAGGACG